CAAAGCUAAUUUGGAACUCACACUGAUUAAACGUUGCUUUACUACUAUACCUUCAGCUCAACGGAGCUCAACGGAGAAAUUAUCGACGGCGAAGAGCGCCGCCGUGCCGUUAUUGAUUUACUGCUCAAUUGUACCUACCGCCGUUAAGCCUAUCCGUUACUCCACCGGAUUUCUUCUUUCUCCGAUAGUUUGUAGUUGCGGCAAUACAAUCAACAUUCAUACUAAAAAUUUCCCGUAACCUUGAGCUUGGAUGACCGAGAGCAAGAAGAGGCACUUGGAAUAGCUUUAGCUGCAUGGAGGCGGCUGAGGAUUCUUGGGUUUCAUUUGAUCUGCAGAAGGACUGGGGCCAAGCCUGAGUUCAAGUUCAGGAAAUGAAGAGGGAAUCAAGAUAGGGAAAUCGAACCUUCACCAA
This is a long non-coding RNA of Solanum pennellii, 412 nucleotides long. RefSeq lists it as uncharacterized. The record is from RefSeq and is a predicted model, not a curated record. The transcript has 3 exons. Lineage: Eukaryota; Viridiplantae; Streptophyta; Magnoliopsida; Solanales; Solanaceae.